AGGAUGAACGCUGGCGGCGUGCUUAACACAUGCAAGUCGAACGAAGCGCAUUGUUUGAAUUCUUCGGAAGGAAGAUAAUGUGACUGAGUGGCGGACGGGUGAGUAACGCGUGGGUAACCUGCCAUGUACAGGGGGACAACAGUUGGAAACGGCUGCUAAUACCGCAUAAGCGCACGAGAUUGCAUGAUCUAGUGUGAAAAACUCCGGUGGUAUAUGAUGGACCCGCGUCUGAUUAGCUAGUUGGUAAGGUAACGGCUUACCAAGGCGACGAUCAGUAGCCGACCUGAGAGGGUGACCGGCCACAUUGGGACUGAGACACGGCCCAGACUCCUACGGGAGGCAGCAGUGGGGAAUAUUGCACAAUGGGCGAAAGCCUGAUGCAGCGACGCCGCGUGAACGAAGAAGUAUUUCGGUAUGUAAAGUUCUAUCAGCAGGGAAGAAGAAAUGACGGUACCUGACUAAGAAGCCCCGGCUAACUACGUGCCAGCAGCCGCGGUAAUACGUAGGGGGCAAGCGUUAUCCGGAUUUACUGGGUGUAAAGGGAGCGCAGGCGGCCCGGCAAGUCUGAUGUGAAAACCCAAGGCUCAACCAUGGGAUUGCAUUGGAAACUGUCGAGCUAGAGUAUCGGAGGGGUAAGUGGAAUUCCUAGUGUAGCGGUGAAAUGCGUAGAUAUUAGGAGGAACACCAGUGGCGAAGGCGGCUUACUGGACG
RNAcentral lists this ribosomal RNA (711 nucleotides) under Lachnobacterium sp. G47. RNAcentral's name for it is "bacterial SSU rRNA". It matches the Rfam family "Bacterial small subunit ribosomal RNA", at positions 26 to 735 of the family's 1533-position model. The record is from RNAcentral. Lineage: Bacteria; Bacillati; Bacillota; Clostridia; Lachnospirales; Lachnospiraceae.